UACGUAGGGGGCAAGCGUUGUCCGGAUUUAUUGGGCGUAAAGGGCGCGUAGGCGGCUUGGCAAGUGGAUGGUGAAAUCCCUCGGCUUAACCGAGGAACUGCCGUCCAAACUGCUUCGCUUGAGACCGGGAGAGGUGAGUGGAAUUCCCAGUGUAGCGGUGAAAUGCGUAGAUAUUGGGAGGAACACCAGUGGCGAAGGCGGCUCACUGGACCGGUACUGACGCUGAUGCGCGAAAGCGUGGGGAGCAAACGGG
RNAcentral lists this ribosomal RNA (253 nucleotides) under uncultured bacterium. Its description in RNAcentral is "partial 16S ribosomal RNA". It matches the Rfam family "Bacterial small subunit ribosomal RNA", at positions 524 to 776 of the family's 1533-position model. The record is from RNAcentral.